UAUCUCGCAUGAUGGUAAUAGCUAAAGUGGAAACUUAGCUAGCUUAAAGUGCGUAGUCGAAACUGGAAGGUUGAUCGACCACAAUGGGCCUGAAGAAAGCCCAUGAUGAAUAUUACAGCAGUGAGGAAUAUUGGUCAAUAGCCUAACGGCUGAACCAGCAACUUGGGGGAAUGAAUAGCAAUAGCUAUUUGCACUAAUGUUAUUAGUGCAAAAUUAACGUAGUUAAAUAAAAUUCUGGAUAGAAUUAUGAUAAUGACAUUAUCUGUUCAUAAGUCUUGACCAAAUUACGUGCCAGCAGUCGCGGUAAUACGUAGAAGACAAGUGUUAUUCAUCUUUAAUAGGUUUAAAGCGUACUUAGACAGUAAAUAAAGCCUUAAAGGGACUAGUUUGCUAGAGUUUUAUAUGAAGGGGUUUUAAAGUACUACUGGUGUAGAGAUGAAAUUCAGUUAUACCUUAAAUGGCACAGGUUAAGGCGAAAGCAUCCUCUUAUGUAAAAACUGACGUUGAAGGACGAAGGCUUUGUGUCUCGAACAGGAUUAGAUACCCUAGUAGUCUAAGCAGAAAAUGAUGAAUGUCAUAGGUUAGAUUUAAUUUGAUCUGUAAAUGAAAGUGUAAGCAUUCCACCUCAAGAGUAAUUUGGCAACAUUGGAACUGAAAUCAUUAGACCGUUUCUGAAACCAGUAGUGAAGUAUGUUGUUUAAUUUGAUAAUCCGCAAAAAACCCC
This 724-nucleotide ribosomal RNA is filed under the name Xanthoria elixii. Its description in RNAcentral is "SSU rRNA". It matches the Rfam family "Bacterial small subunit ribosomal RNA", at positions 232 to 972 of the family's 1533-position model. The record is from RNAcentral. Lineage: Eukaryota; Fungi; Ascomycota; Lecanoromycetes; Teloschistales; Teloschistaceae.